Long non-coding RNA from Poeciliopsis prolifica (blackstripe livebearer), 336 nucleotides. RefSeq lists it as uncharacterized. Lineage: Eukaryota; Metazoa; Chordata; Actinopteri; Cyprinodontiformes; Poeciliidae. The transcript has 3 exons. The record is from RefSeq and is a predicted model, not a curated record.
UAGCCUUUUGGGAAAUAGAGAUUGGGUAGGCGGGGUAGUCUGCCUGGCCAAUGGGAAGUUUGAUUCCCAUGAAUGUUUAGACCAAUCAGAGAGCGGAAUGCCACAGAGGCUCCACCUUCUUUCCCGUGUUGGCAGCGUUGAUUGUGAGCUGGAGAUCUGACCCUGAUCAGACAGCUGAGCCAGAAACCACUAAGAUCAGUUGGAACUGUUGCACUUUCUGGCAGUUGAUUGGCAGUUGUUUUCAGUUCAACUGAAGUGCCCUCCGUGUCUGGAAUGAGAGUCCCUGUCUAGUUGUUUUGAACGUGCCGCACUGAGAUCGGUGAGCAUAUUUUGUAC